Molecule: ribosomal RNA, 507 nt
Filed under: uncultured bacterium
Lineage: Bacteria
Description: bacterial SSU rRNA
Rfam family: Bacterial small subunit ribosomal RNA
Source: RNAcentral
GAUUAUGGCUCAGGAUGAACGCUGGCGGCGUGCCUAACACAUGCAAGUCGAACGAAGCACUGCGGAUGGAGAUUCGUCAAAAUCUGCUUUGACUUAGUGGCGGACGGGUGAGUAAUGUGUGAGCAACCUGCCUUUCAGAGGGGGACAACAGUUGGAAACGACUGCUAAUACCGCAUAAUGUAUUGGAAGGGCAUCCUUUUGAUACCAAAGGAGCAAUCCGCUGAAAGAUGGGCUCACAUCUGAUUAGCUAGUUGGUGGGGUAACGGCCUACCAAGGCUGCGAUCAGUAGCCGGACUGAGAGGUUGAACGGCCACAUUGGGACUGAGAUACGGCCCAGACUCCUACGGGAGGCAGCAGUGGGGAAUAUUGGGCAAUGGGCGAAAGCCUCGACCCAGCAACGCCGUGUGAAGGAAGAAGGUCUUCGGAUUGUAAACUUCUUUUAUGAGGGACGAAGGACGUGACGGUACCUCAUGAAUAAGCCACGGCUAACUACGUGCCAGCCGCGGC